Molecule: long non-coding RNA, 349 nt
Filed under: Pelobates cultripes (western spadefoot toad)
Lineage: Eukaryota; Metazoa; Chordata; Amphibia; Anura; Pelobatidae
Source: RNAcentral
AAUUUCUACGAAAUCACGCGCGUAUAUAACAGUAGAUUUUUUUAAGCUUUCUUUAUCUUGUCCCUAUAGGUGUUAAUUUCUACGAAAUCACGCGCGUAUAUAACAUUAGAUUUUUUUAAGCUUUCUUUAUCUUGUCCCUAUAGGUGUUAAUUUCUACGAAAUCACGCGCGUAUAUAACAUUAGAUUUUUUUAAGCUUUCUUUAUCUUGUCCCUAUAGGUGUUAAUUUCUACGAAAUCACGCGCGUAUAUAACAUUAGAUUUUUUUAAGCUUUCUUUAUCUUGUCCCUAUAGGUGUUAAUUUCUACGAAAUCACGCGCGUAUAUAACAUUAGAUUUUUUUAUCAACUGUC